UACGGGGGGGGCAAGCGUUGUUCGGAAUUACUGGGCGUAAAGGGCUCGUAGGCGGCCAACUAAGUCAGACGUGAAAUCCCUCGGCUUAACCGGGGAACUGCGUCUGAUACUGGAUGGCUUGAGUUUGGGAGAGGGAUGCGGAAUUCCAGGUGUAGCGGUGAAAUUCGUAGAUAUUCGGAAGAACACCAGUGGCGAAGGCGGCUCACUGGACUGGUAUUGACGCUGAGGUGCGAAAGCGUGGGGAGCAAACAGG
Molecule: ribosomal RNA, 253 nt
Filed under: uncultured bacterium
Lineage: Bacteria
Description: partial 16S ribosomal RNA
Rfam family: Bacterial small subunit ribosomal RNA
Source: RNAcentral